RNAcentral lists this transfer RNA (69 nucleotides) under Marmota monax (woodchuck). Its description in RNAcentral is "tRNA.Arg". The record is from RNAcentral. Lineage: Eukaryota; Metazoa; Chordata; Mammalia; Rodentia; Sciuridae.
GGAAUAUAGCUUAGUUGGCAGAGUGCUUGUUUCCUAUUCAUUAGGCCUUGGGUUCAAUCCCCAGCACCA